RNAcentral lists this non-coding RNA (151 nucleotides) under Pongo abelii (Sumatran orangutan). Lineage: Eukaryota; Metazoa; Chordata; Mammalia; Primates; Hominidae. The record is from RNAcentral.
AGCCCGGUCCACCACAGCCUUCAGCAGCGACACUCGCAGCCUCCGACCUCUUCAGACCGAUGAGACCAGUCAAGCCCGUUAGGCCGCGCCUGAACACCGCCAGCAGACCUGUGGAGAGGAAGAGUAAGGCGGGCUCUGCAGGGCAGUGGCC